CCCCUUGGAUAAUGCUUUAUGUUGGAUAUAGUUCAACCCCUACUGUGGAGACCAGGGCCCCACUACCCUUAGAUCUGGUUCCUCCACCUAUCCUGACCCUGCCGCCUGGUCCUGAGCCUUACCCUGAGGCUUAGCUCCAACCUUUGAUAAAUAGUUGCUCCUUAAUCUGUUUCCACCCUGGGGGCUCAUCAUGUCAUAUUUUGUCUUUUGCCUUUCUUUUCACGCUCGCUCUUUUUUUUUUUUUUUUGAGACAGGGUGUCUCUGUCACCCACGCUAGAGUGCAGUGACAGGAUUAUCACUCACUGCAGCCUCGACCUCCUGGGCUCAAGUGAUCCUCCCAGCUCAGCCUUCCAGAGUAGCAGAGACUGCAGACCUACACCACCAUGCCCAGUUGCCCGGUUAAUUUUUUUUUGUGACAGUUUGAAGAGGGGAGAAGAUCUCACUGUGUUGCCCAGGCUGGUCUCAAACUUCCGGGCUCAAGCGAUUCCCCUACCCAGACGUCCCAAAGUGCUGGGGUUACAGGUGUGAGCUAUCACACCCGGCUGUGCGCUUUCUGAGUUUGUUUCUGCUUAUGGUGGAGGGCUUGUUCCCGCUCUUCCCACAGGAACCCAGGAUGUGGCACAGCUUCCCUGCGGUCUUCCUUCAGUCAGUUGGCUACGCCUCCCAUCCUAGCUCCACCUCCAGAACUGCCCUCCCCCUGGGCUGGGUGCUUGUUUUGUUUUUAGAGACAGGGUGUCACUCUGUCGCCCAGUGCAGUGGAGUGCAGUGGCGUGAUCUCGGCUCACUGCCACCUCCACCUCCAGAGUUCAAGUGAUUCUCCUGCGUCAGCCUCCGGAGUAGCUAGGAUUACAGGCAUGCACCACCAUGCCUGGCUAAUUUUUAUAUUUUUAGUAGAGAUGAGGUUUCAGCAUGUUGGCCAGGCUGGUGUCGAACUCUUGGCUUCAGGUGAUCCCCCAGCCUCACCUCCCAAGGUGCUGGGAUUACAGGCGUGGGCCACUGCACCCGGCCAGCUGGGUCCUUGUUCUGCUGCCCAGGCUUGGCCCUGGUUCCGUGGGUUGGUUCUACUUUUUGUUCUCCCAUCUUUUGCCUCCUGCCUCCUCCUUGAGCUUAGCCCCGCCCUCUCAGCCUGAUUUCUGUUUCCCAAGUCCAGCUGUGCCAUGGGAUAGGUGGGAUAGGUUUUGCUUGCUUUUGCUGUCUCCAUCGUGCUUACACCUACCUGAUCCUGGGCUCUGGGGACUCCCCAUGGUUUCCUUCCUUCGGCAGGCCCAAAAUGAUGGCCCCUCCUAACCUAAGGCAGGGGAUCUUCCUCCCAACUCUGGACCAAGGUGGCAUUUCCUGCACGUCCCUCCAGGCCGAGAUGAUGCUCGCUGUCAACUCUCUAGGCCAAAGUGGCAUCUCUUCCUGACUCUCCAGACCUAAAGUGACACCCUUCAGGUACUUCGGGCCCAAUUCAACCUUGCCCUGGUGCUUUGGGCUCCAGAUGACAGCACUUUGCAGAUAAGAACGAUAUGACGUGUGGAUUUCACUACACUUGGCUCCUGGAUACUAUAAAAGGACUUGGAUUUCUGAUUUGGCUCAGGGACUGGGGUUAGGAGCCUCUUUCUGCUCCUUCUCACCUGCGCUUUCUUCUGAUCCCAGCUCUGGUCCCUCAACCGUAUUCAUAUUUACUCUCCCCUCCCAACCUGAUACCCCUGUCCCUCAUCCCAACCCAAAGCCAAGAUCUUAGCCCCCAAGAUGGAGAAUGGGGAGGAGCUUUCUAUGGCAGACUGAUUAAAACUCUUAAGCAUU
RNA transcript from Rhinopithecus roxellana (golden snub-nosed monkey), 1788 nucleotides. RefSeq lists it as uncharacterized. The record is from RefSeq and is a predicted model, not a curated record. NCBI's taxonomy places the organism in Eukaryota, Metazoa, Chordata, Mammalia, Primates, Cercopithecidae. The transcript has a single exon.